UGUUUUGCCAUACAGCCACAGUAUUUUUAUACCUUUCUUAUGGAUUUGUCAACUCUAUCCUCCCUCCACUGAUGAUGGUUACUUCUCAUGAUUACCAAUUCAUUUAGUAACUGUUCACAAUGAUUCUGUGAGGAGGCUGCCCACAUUCAGUAUUGAGUUCACAGAAAUUAAAAUUUACGUUUAUAUGAAACUAACGUCAGUUUUCAAAACUGAGGUACAUACCUGCAUUCAAAAAAGAAAGCAGCAUCUAUGUCUAUUUGGUUCAUUGCUGAAUAUCCAGAACCUAGUAGAGUGCCUAGGACACAGAAGGCAGUAUUGCUUGAUAAAUAAAUGAUGACUAUUACAUGUCUGCAAAUAUCUUAUAAGGGCUGGUGUCCUUAUGAGAAGAGACACCACAGCUUGCUGUCUCUGUGCACACGUGCCAAGGAAAGGCCAUGUGAGGACACGGCAUGAAGUCUGUAGGCCAGGAAGAGAGUUCCCACCAAGAACUAUGUUAUCUAGCACACUGACCUGGGACUUCCUACCCUCCAGA
Long non-coding RNA from Suricata suricatta (meerkat), 532 nucleotides. RefSeq lists it as uncharacterized. The transcript has 3 exons. The record is from RefSeq and is a predicted model, not a curated record. Lineage: Eukaryota; Metazoa; Chordata; Mammalia; Carnivora; Herpestidae.